UUUAACUUUUCCUCUUGGCUCAGCUAAGCA
Molecule: non-coding RNA, 30 nt
Filed under: Rattus norvegicus (Norway rat)
Lineage: Eukaryota; Metazoa; Chordata; Mammalia; Rodentia; Muridae
Source: RNAcentral